CGGAUAGGUAGCAGACAAGCAUUUGACUGCUAUUAAAGUGGCUAAGGCCAUGAACAUGGAUGGACCUGCGGUGCAUUAGCUAGUUGGUGAGGUAACGGCCCACCAAGGCGACGAUGCAUAGCCGGCCUGAGAGGGCGGACGGCCACAUUGGGACUGAGACACGGCCCAAACUCCUACGGGAGGCAGCAGUAGGGAAUUUUCGUCAAUGGGGGGAACCCUGAACGAGCAAUGCCGCGUGAGUGAGGAAGGUCUUCGGAUCGUAAAGCUCUGUUGUAAGAGAAAAACGGCACUCAUAGGGAAUGAUGAGUGAGUGAUGGUAUCUUACCAGAAAGUCACGGCUAACUACGUGCCAGCAGCCGCGGUAAUACGUAGGUGGCGAGCGUUAUCCGGAAUGAUUGGGCGUAAAGGGUGCGUAGGUGGCAGAUCAAGUCUGGAGUAAAAGGUAUGGGCUCAACCCGUACUUGCUCUGGAAACUGAUCAGCUAGAGAACAGAAGAGGACGGCGGAACUCCAUGUGUAGCGGUAAAAUGCGUAGAUAUAUGGAAGAACACCGGUGGCGAAGGCGGCCGUCUGGUCUGGAUUCUGACACUGAAGCACGAAAGCGUGGGGAGCAAAUAGGAUUAGAUACCCUAGUAGUCCACGCCGUAAACGAUGAGAACUAGGUGUUGGGGGAAUAACUCAGUGCCGCAGUUAACGCAAUAAGUUCUCCGCCUGGGGAGUAUGCACGCAAGUGUGAAACUCAAAGGAAUUGACGGGGGCCCGCACAAGCGGUGGAGUAUGUGGUUUAAUUCGAAGCAACGCGAAGAACCUUACCAGGCCUUGACAUCCCUCGCAGAGGUAUAGAGAUAUAUCCGAGGUUAUCAAGGAGACAGGUGGUGCAUGGUUGUCGUCAGCUCGUGUCGUGAGAUGUUGGGUUAAGUCCCGCAACGAGCGCAACCCUUGUGAUAUGUUACUAACAUUGAGUUGAGGACUCAUAUCAGACUGCCGGUGAUAAACCGGAGGAAGGUGGGGAUGACGUCAAAUCGUCAUGCCCCCUAUGGCCUGGGCUACACACGUACUACAAUGGCGUCUACAAAGAGCGGCAAGCCUGUGAAGGCAAGCGAAUCUCAUAAAGGACGUCUCAGUUCGGAUUGAAGUCUGCAACCCGACUUCAUGAAGCUGGAAUCGCUAGUAAUCGCGAAUCAGCAUGUCGCGGUGAAUACGAUCUCGGGCCUUGCACU
Molecule: ribosomal RNA, 1219 nt
Filed under: uncultured bacterium
Lineage: Bacteria
Description: bacterial SSU rRNA
Rfam family: Bacterial small subunit ribosomal RNA
Source: RNAcentral